Molecule: ribosomal RNA, 253 nt
Filed under: uncultured bacterium
Lineage: Bacteria
Description: partial 16S ribosomal RNA
Rfam family: Bacterial small subunit ribosomal RNA
Source: RNAcentral
UACGUAGGCUCCAAACGUUGUUCGGUGUUACUGGGCUUAAAGGGUCCGUAGGCGGUUCGACAAGUCAGGUGUGAAAUCCCGCGGCUUACCCGUGGAACGGCACUUGUUACUGUCAAACUCGAGGCACGCAGGGGUAACCGGAAUUCUGGGUGUAGCGGUGAAAUGCACAGAUAUCCAGGAGAAGGCCGACGGCGAAGGCAGGUUACUGGGCGUGUUCUGACGCUGAGGGACGAAAGCAUGGGGAGCAAACAGA